Molecule: ribosomal RNA, 440 nt
Filed under: uncultured bacterium
Lineage: Bacteria
Description: partial 16S ribosomal RNA
Rfam family: Bacterial small subunit ribosomal RNA
Source: RNAcentral
CCUACGGGGGGCAGCAGUGGGGGAUAUUGCACAAUGGGGGAAACCCUGAUGCAGCAACGCCGCGUGAGUGAAGAAGUACUUCGGUAUGUAAAGCUCUAUCAGCAGGGAAGAGAAUGACGGUACCUGACUAAGAAGCACCGGCUAACUACGUGCCAGCAGCCGCGGUAAUACGUAGGGGGCGAGCGUUAUCCGGAUUUACUGGGUGUAAAGGGAGCGUAGACGGCUGGUCAAGUCGGAAGUGAAAGCCCGGGGCUUAACCCCGGAACGGCUUUUGAGACUGGGCAGCUAGAGUGCUGGAGAGGGUAGCGGAAUUCCUGGUGUAGCGGUGAAAUGCGUAGAUAUUAGGAGGAACACCAGUGGCGAAGGCGGCUUACUGGACAGUGACUGACGCUGAGGCGCGAAAGCGUGGGGAGCAAACAGGAUUAGAUACCCCAGUAGUC